This 251-nucleotide ribosomal RNA is filed under the name uncultured prokaryote. RNAcentral's name for it is "partial 16S rRNA". It matches the Rfam family "Bacterial small subunit ribosomal RNA", at positions 525 to 775 of the family's 1533-position model. The record is from RNAcentral.
AAGGAGGAGGCGAGCGUUAAGAGGAUGAAAAGGGUUUAAAGGGUGCGUAGGCGGACUAUUAAGUCAGUGGUGAAAUCCUGCAGCUUAACUGCAGAACUGCCAUUGAUACUGAUAGCCUUGAGUUUGGUUAAGGUAGGCGGAAUGUGUAAUGUAGCGGUGAAAUGCUUAGAUAUUACACAGAACACCAAUUGCGUAGGCAGCUUACUGAGCCGACACUGACGCUGAGGCACGAAAGCGUGGGGAUCGAACAG